Molecule: transfer RNA, 86 nt
Filed under: Endomicrobium sp.
Lineage: Bacteria; Pseudomonadati; Elusimicrobiota; Endomicrobiia; Endomicrobiales; Endomicrobiaceae
Description: tRNA-Leu
Rfam family: tRNA
About the family: Transfer RNA (tRNA) molecules are approximately 80 nucleotides in length.
Source: RNAcentral
GGGCGAAUGGCGAAAUAGGCAGACGCACAAGACUUAAAAUCUUGAGAUUUAUAAAAAUCAUGAGGGUUCAAGUCCCUCUUCGCCCA